GUACCAUCGUUGGGGGAUUUCUGGAAAAAUAAAAAUAUUUCCCAGUAACUUACAAACUAUGCCAAAUAACUCGGCAUCCGAGCCGUCAAGAAAAACAGACUCGAAAAGCAAUCGAUCGUAUAUUUAGCCACGCAUGAAAUUCACAAUUGGAUCCUGUAGCAAAAAUAGAACGCUAAAUUCGGCGCGUAUUGCCCCGGAAGGCCCUACCGACAGACCACGGGGGCGGAGGGGGGUUUUUGGUGGGGGCCCACCCCCCCUGCCCCGCUUAGAAACUGCAAGUUGGGAAAAAAAACAACACAAAAGCAGUCAAUUGCACGCCCGCUGGUAAAUCCGCCACCUUUUUCAGCGCCCCCAAGUUCAGUGCUCAGUGACCGUGAUGUUGGACGCCGAGAAUGUGGUGGUGAGUCAACCGAACAUGGACCGGCGGCUGUCGAACUGGUACGCGAUGAACCUGAGUCCGGACGUCCUGGCGACGGUGGCCAACCUGAACGAUCAGCAUAGUAGGCACAGCCGCCACGGUAGCAGCACCCGUCACCACCACCACCACUCCUCUCACUCACACCACCAUCACAGCGGACGCCACAGACACCACGCGGUAAGUCCCCCCCCCUCACCCCUCCCCCUCUGCCCCCGUCUAAGCAUUCACCGCGCAAGUCGCGAAUGGGCGCACUCAUGGCAGCUACGUCACCCACUGACUCAGUGACUACGUCAUUCGAUAUUCACUUCGAUGGUUCCACCCUGUACAAAUAUCCGUUCCAGACGCUCAUACCAGGCCAUAUCUCCACCGGAUGUUUUCAUGAGAUAUGUUACAGAAUCGAUUCGCUAGAAUGAAAAUUCGGGAAUUUUUCGCGGUUACAGUCUCCUCGACGCGGGGGGGGGGGGGCUCUCACAUUCCUGUGACAAGUUUGCGCGGGAAGAUAAAUUAGUAAAAAUUGAGUGUUUAACCGGGAUUACAAUCAAUGUUGAACACGACUAACAUAUUGGACACGGAAAAAACGGAAAAUCGUGUAAACACAAAGUAUCGCACAAUUUCCUUUCACUUCUUCCUCCUAAUCUCAUCGUCAGUUGGUCUUACUUUCUCUACAACGGGUACAAGGACUAUACUUGGUACUGCCAAAAUACAGGAAAAACUAUUUACUUCCGAGGAUUAUUUGGGGGAGGGGCUGUAGCCCCUUUAAACGCUCAUGGAAUAAUUUCAGGGAAGAAUGUCAUAUUUUGACCCUUUGUAAAUCUUACUACACUGCCGUGCUGAGGAAGAACGCCGUAAGAGCCAGCAGACAUUGCCAAGUUUCCUUUGAUAAAGUACGGAUUUAUUGGGAAAGUUAUAAAUAUUUUUAUUAAAAAUUUUUAGACCAUAUUGUUCGCGGUUCAAUCUAGAAUAUCUGAAUAUUUCACGGAAAAAUAUGCAUAACUUCCUUUCAAAAUAAACAUUCUAUGAGGGGAAAUUUGGCAACCCUCGAAUGUUCAUACAGCGUUUUUCCUUAUCACGGCACUACAGUCCGGGGCUUUAACCUUGGAUCACCCUGUAUAUACACAUUCGACCACCUCGACGUGAGUGCAUUUAGGUUAAAUAUUUGUUUACAUUUGAUGGCCACACGCGCCGGAUGUAAAUAAACAAAAAUAAUUGAUGGCAACGUGCAAGCUUUGUUGUUGCACUAGUUCACGGUACGUCUGCAAGCGUUUAGUGACUGAUAAGAAUGAUUUCUAACCUGCGUUACGUUGCGUUCACUGCUGAAGUUACACUACAGCCAUCGUGGAUUGUUUGUCAGCUUGAUAUGAAAAAUUACGAGGAUGAAUAUCGACCCGAUCACAUGUCCGGUGAGUCAGAAAACGAACACUUGAGGAUACUUAGAUUGAAGUUCAUGUUUUGAGUGGAAGAAGGUUUAAAGGAAAGCUAGAGCUGUGCAUUCUCUCUCAUUCUCGAGAUGUUUUGGUCCACAUGUUAGACCAGUCAGACGAUGGGGGCCGCGCCCAAGGUCGUCACGCACAGUGGAGCCAGUCGAAGGAAAAUGUUGGACAUGCUGUGUAAAAUUUAAAAGCUGAUAUCUUUGUUAGCGUGAAACGGAGAAGCUAACAAGUGGUUUCAGUAGUUUUCUCGUAAAAUGGUCUUCCAAAUGCACUCCUUGAAAUUUAAGUUGUGACGGAAUAAAAACCAAAAUUUGCAGUUUUAGUAAACAAGUUCACGUCCGACCUCUCCGAAUGGAUCGUUCCACUGUGUGGCGUUGAGUACACGUUGUGAGCGCAGUAUUCCUUGGUGAAGAGUGGUGGGGGACACUCUAUGAUGCAAUAACGCCGUGUGCAGGAUUCCCUCACGCGUGGGGUAUUUUCUCGGGGAAAUUUGUCGCACGGAAUGUUUUGAAAAUGUUUCAUAGGGGUAUAGUACACCAAUAUGCAAUUUUUGAAUCGGCUAGUUCAAACUUUGAAUAAAAAAGUCCCAAUAAAAGGAUUAAAUUGUAAAAAGUUUAACUUUUAAAAACUUGGUUUUAGUAUUUAAAUUGGGAAG
This 2503-nucleotide long non-coding RNA is filed under the name Bemisia tabaci. RNAcentral's name for it is "lncRNA ENSSSA3NGG014022". Lineage: Eukaryota; Metazoa; Arthropoda; Insecta; Hemiptera; Aleyrodidae. The record is from RNAcentral.